UUUCGAGUGUCCACACUGCGACGGGACAGCUCUGUUUUAAAAUGUAUCCAUUUUCGAGAGCGUUUUCAAAACGUUGCAUUUUUCCUUGAGGAAAACGCCGUCUCAGUGUGGAAGGGAGAGAAAACGAUGCGUUUUCAAACGAAAAAGCAUUAGUGUGUACGUAGCCGUUAUCCAGUGACCGUAAAAGUACUACGGAAAUUUUGUCUGUUACUGCCAGUGUACUUGGUGCAAAUACUGUGGCAAGGAGAAUGUCUGCAAUGUCUGCAGAUGCAUUAUAACAGUUGGAAUUGGACAUGCAGAGGUGCAAAUCAUUUUUAAUUCAGUGUGCGGAGUCUGUCAACUCCAGUGAUACAGGCCAGCUGGCUGCUUUCAUUCAGAUGGUGUUUGGUGACUUUUUUACUUAAACUGAAAACUACAAGCAGAGCAGCGGAUAUUUACAAUCACUGAAGGACUACGUUGUAGGAAAAAAAAACAUGCCUGUUGAAAAGCUCGUGUCUGUGACAACUGAUGGAGCACCUGCUGUGGCAGCUCCAUUUGAGCAAAGGCAAAGCAACACCGAAGCUUCAGGUUGUUCCUGGAGGAAUGUUCUGCUGAGUAUGGGGAUCUCCUCCUCCACACUGAACUCAGAUGGUUAAGUCGAGAUUUCCCUGGACCUGCUCCUGUGUUUCCUGGAUGACCGCGCUUGUGUCUUUGGAGUGAAGCCAGUUUGCGUGAGGAGAUUCGGAGUGCGGAAAUGGAGCGACUGAGCGAGGGAGUGAAGCGUGUGGAGUGAACGGAGCGAGGAUCAAAGAGCAAGGAUGGAGUGUUUCUUCCCUGCACCCGCUGAGGAUCCCUGGAGCCCUGUCUGUCCCCUCACGUUGUAUAUAGUUCACCUGGUGCUUAGUGUAGAUAAAGACUGUUUUCUGCUUUGAUUCCAAGUCUUCGUAGGAGUCCAUUCUGUCAGCCCUGACACUUGCAAGUGAACUAAAUAUUUUUUUUAAGUGUUAAUGCAAAAAGUAAGUUGUGGACAACAUCAUUUUGUAAAUAUUCCCAAAAACAAGCUUUUUGGGGUUGUUUGAGUUGAAAUGAGGUAUGAAAUGUUAGAAAGCAUGAGUAGCUCUGGGGGAGGGGGGGGGGAAUCCCUGCCUUAGAGUAUCUGCUGGUAAAGCUAAAAGCUAACCAUUAAAAACAGCACACAUGUUAAGCCUUAAUAAGAUUUAAAAUAAACUUAUCCAGCUGUUUCAAGGUGUUUAAUAUGAGGAGUGAAUCAGAUGCACACUUAAUG
Oreochromis aureus is the source of this 1264-nucleotide long non-coding RNA. Lineage: Eukaryota; Metazoa; Chordata; Actinopteri; Cichliformes; Cichlidae. The record is from Ensembl.